RNAcentral lists this ribosomal RNA (491 nucleotides) under Salmonella enterica. RNAcentral's name for it is "bacterial SSU rRNA". It matches the Rfam family "Bacterial small subunit ribosomal RNA", at positions 1 to 481 of the family's 1533-position model. Lineage: Bacteria; Pseudomonadati; Pseudomonadota; Gammaproteobacteria; Enterobacterales; Enterobacteriaceae. The record is from RNAcentral. RNAcentral also lists the same sequence under 1 other name.
AAAUUGAAGAGUUUGAUCAUGGCUCAGAUUGAACGCUGGCGGCAGGCCUAACACAUGCAAGUCGAACGGUAACAGGAAGCAGCUUGCUGCUUCGCUGACGAGUGGCGGACGGGUGAGUAAUGUCUGGGAAACUGCCUGAUGGAGGGGGAUAACUACUGGAAACGGUGGCUAAUACCGCAUAACGUCGCAAGACCAAAGAGGGGGACCUUCGGGCCUCUUGCCAUCAGAUGUGCCCAGAUGGGAUUAGCUUGUUGGUGAGGUAACGGCUCACCAAGGCGACGAUCCCUAGCUGGUCUGAGAGGAUGACCAGCCACACUGGAACUGAGACACGGUCCAGACUCCUACGGGAGGCAGCAGUGGGGAAUAUUGCACAAUGGGCGCAAGCCUGAUGCAGCCAUGCCGCGUGUAUGAAGAAGGCCUUCGGGUUGUAAAGUACUUUCAGCGGGGAGGAAGGUGUUGUGGUUAAUAACCGCAGCAAUUGACGUUACCCG